GAACGCUGUUGGCGUGCUUAACACAUGCAAGUCGAACGGAAAGGCCCUGCUUUUGUGGGGUGCUCGAGUGGCGAACGGGUGAGUAACACGUGAGUAACCUGCCCUUGACUUUGGGAUAACUUCAGGAAACUGGGGCUAAUACCGGAUAGGAGCUCCUGCUGCAUGGUGGGGGUUGGAAAGUUUCGGCGGUUGGGGAUGGACUCGCGGCUUAUCAGCUUGUUGGUGGGGUAGUGGCUUACCAAGGCUUUGACGGGUAGCCGGCCUGAGAGGGUGACCGGCCACAUUGGGACUGAGAUACGGCCCAGACUCCUACGGGAGGCAGCAGUGGGGAAUAUUGCACAAUGGGCGGAAGCCUGAUGCAGCAACGCCGCGUGCGGGAUGACGGCCUUCGGGUUGUAAACCGCUUUCGCCUGUGACGAAGCGUGAGUGACGGUAAUGGGUAAAGAAGCACCGGCUAACUACGUGCCAGCAGCCGCGGUGAUACGUAGGGUGCGAGCGUUGUCCGGAUUUAUUGGGCGUAAAGGGCUCGUAGGUGGUUGAUCGCGUCGGAAGUGUAAUCUUGGGGCUUAACCCUGAGCGUGCUUUCGAUACGGGUUGACUUGAGGAAGGUAGGGGAGAAUGGAAUUCCUGGUGGAGCGGUGGAAUGCGCAGAUAUCAGGAGGAACACCAGUGGCGAAGGCGGUUCUCUGGGCCUUUCCUGACGCUGAGGAGCGAAAGCGUGGGGGAGCGAACAGGCUUAGAUACCCUGGUAGUCCACGCUGUAAACGGUGGGUACUAGGUGUGGGGUCCAUUCCACGGGUUCCGUGCCGUAGCUAACGCUUUAAGUACCCCGCCUGGGGAGUACGGCCGCAAGGCUAAAACUCAAAGGAAUUGACGGGGCCCCGCACAAGCGGCGGAGCAUGCGGAUUAAUUCGAUGCAACGCGUAGAACCUUACCUGGGUUUGACAUGGAUCGGGAGUGCUCAGAGAUGGGUGUGCCUCUUUUGGGGUCGGUUCACAGGUGGUGCAUGGCUGUCGUCAGCUCGUGUCGUGAGAUGUUGGGUUAAGUCCCGCAACGAGCGCAACCCUUGUUCACUGUUGCCAGCACGUUAUGGUGGGGACUCAGUGGAGACCGCCGGGGUCAACUCGGAGGAAGGUGGGGAUGACGUCAAGUCAUCAUGCCCCUUAUGUCCAGGGCUUCACGCAUGCUACAAUGGCUGGUACAGAGAGUGGCGAGCCUGUGAGGGUGAGCGAAUCUCGGAAAGCCGGUCUCAGUUCGGAUUGGGGUCUGCAACUCGACCUCAUGAAGUCGGAGUCGCUAGUAAUCGCAGAUCAGCAACGCUGCGGUGAAUACGUUCCCGGGGCUUGUACACACCGCCCGUCAAGUCAUGAAAGUUGGUAACACCCGAAGCCGGUGGCCUAACCGUUGUGGGGGAGCCGUCGAAGGUGGGACUGGUGAUUAGG
This 1442-nucleotide ribosomal RNA is filed under the name uncultured organism. Its description in RNAcentral is "16S ribosomal RNA". It matches the Rfam family "Bacterial small subunit ribosomal RNA". The record is from RNAcentral.